Molecule: ribosomal RNA, 487 nt
Filed under: uncultured bacterium
Lineage: Bacteria
Description: partial 16S ribosomal RNA
Rfam family: Bacterial small subunit ribosomal RNA
Source: RNAcentral
ACUCAAAGGAAUUGACGGGGACUCACACAAGCGGUGGACCAUGUGGCUUAAUUCGACAACAAACGAAGAACCUUACCAGGAUUAGAAAUCCAAAUGACCAUCCUAUGAAAGUAGGACUUCGCAAGACAUUUGGACAGGUGCUGCAUGGUUGUCGUCAGUUCGUGUCUUGAGACGUACCGUUAAUUCGGGUAACGAACGCAACCCUUGCUCUGUGUUUUACAUGUCACAGAGGACUGCCCGAGAUAAUUGGGAGGAAGGCGAGGAUGACGCCAAAUCAGCAUGGCCCUUUGAUAUCCUGGGCCGCACACGUGGUACAAUGGCCGGUACAAUGCGAUGCCAACCCGAAAGGGGGAGCAUAAUCGCACCAAAACCGGUCCCAGUUCGGAUUGAGGGCUGAAACCCGCCCUCAUGAAGUUGGAAUCGCUAGUAAUCGCCAAUCAGCUACGUGGCGAUGAAUACGUUCCUGAGUCUUGUACACACCGCCCGU